RNAcentral lists this ribosomal RNA (253 nucleotides) under uncultured bacterium. RNAcentral's name for it is "partial 16S ribosomal RNA". It matches the Rfam family "Bacterial small subunit ribosomal RNA", at positions 524 to 776 of the family's 1533-position model. The record is from RNAcentral.
UACGGGGGGGGCAAGCGUUGUUCGGAAUUACUGGGCGUAAAGGGCUCGUAGGCGGCCAACUAAGUCGGAUGUGAAAUCCCCAGGCUUAACCUGGGAACUGCAUCCGAUACUGGAUGGCUUGAAUCCGGGAGAGGGAUGCAGAAUUCCAGGUGUAGCGGUGAAAUGCGCAGAUAUCAGGAGGAACACCGGUGGCGAAGGCGGGUCUCUGGGCAAUAACUGACGCUGAGGAGCGAAAGCGUGGGGAGCGAACAGG